This 21-nucleotide non-coding RNA is filed under the name Caenorhabditis elegans. Lineage: Eukaryota; Metazoa; Nematoda; Chromadorea; Rhabditida; Rhabditidae. The record is from RNAcentral.
UUCCAGUGUUAAUGAAGCUUU